GCAAUGAUCGUUCAGCGGUAGAAUUCUCACUUUCCGUGUGGGAAACCUAGGUUCAAAUUCCCAGCCAAUGCG
This 72-nucleotide transfer RNA is filed under the name Loxodonta africana (African savanna elephant). It matches the Rfam family "tRNA". From Rfam's summary of the family: Transfer RNA (tRNA) molecules are approximately 80 nucleotides in length. Their secondary structure includes four short double-helical elements and three loops (D, anti-codon, and T loops). Lineage: Eukaryota; Metazoa; Chordata; Mammalia; Proboscidea; Elephantidae. The record is from Rfam by way of RNAcentral.